RNAcentral lists this long non-coding RNA (227 nucleotides) under Phoenix dactylifera (date palm). RNAcentral's name for it is "long non-coding RNA (PDAC_LNC010038)". The record is from RNAcentral. Lineage: Eukaryota; Viridiplantae; Streptophyta; Magnoliopsida; Arecales; Arecaceae.
UGAGGACCCAAUGACGACUUUAUUUCUACGGUUAUACGGUGGGUCUGACUUAACUAAGAAAUGGGACCAAUAACUGUUAGGUGAGGUUUUCAUGGCUUAGAGACCAAGUAGCACUGCAACAUGCUUGAGAAGCAUUGUACAAGAGUUGUACAUUCAUCAAUCUAUGUGUCACCAAUAACUGUUAGGUGAGGUGGCAUGUAAAUUGGUGGGACCGCAGUACCCACUAG